RNAcentral lists this long non-coding RNA (1997 nucleotides) under Gossypium barbadense (sea-island cotton). Its description in RNAcentral is "long non-coding RNA (GBAR_LNC011769)". The record is from RNAcentral. Lineage: Eukaryota; Viridiplantae; Streptophyta; Magnoliopsida; Malvales; Malvaceae.
UUGAUCUUUUCUUCCCUAUUUUAAUCGAAUCAACCUCUUCCCUCUUCAAUUUAGCCGACUGUUUGUUUUUCAUUUAAAAGCUGAUUCAUACACUUUGGGGGUUUGAUUUCUUGUUGGUUAUCAAUCUCGCAAUCGAUAAGUGAACAAGAUCUUCUUUGGAUUUUGUUAAAUAUUUCUAAGUUCUUUCGUUUCUACACUCAUAAAAGCUGAUUCUUCUUUAUUCUUUAAAAAACUUUCGUUAACCUACGGUUUCUCCAUUUAUUUCUCUUUUCCCUCUCAUUCAAGAGUGUGAUCGCUGAUGGAAAAAGGGGGUUCUAGUAGAGAGGCUGGGAUAGAGGCUCCCAAGUUUAAGCGACGUAAGGUGUUAGUUGUUAGGGACUUUCCGCCUGGAUGCGGAAGGGGGACUACGUCAGAUUUUGAGUUACAUAGGCAGAUCCCAGUCGAUCAAUCUAGUCAAGGCAAGUAUAGGUGGUUCUUCGGUAAGUAGUGGAUUUAUUUUGAAUUAAUGGAAUGUGACUAAUGGAAUAUAACGUUGAAUGUAGGUUCAGGCGAUUAUGAAUACUUAGUAUGCCAAGUGAUAAGGUGUGUACUUCUACCCUAUGAUAACUUGAUAUAAAGCCGAAGGUGUGUACACACAUUGCACACACAAGUAGAUCGGCAAAAGCUGAAAUACCGAAAAGCUGAAAGUUUAACUACAGCAGUCUUGCGAGUGUGCGAACACUCAUGAGAUGGAAACUGAUAGGUUGUCUGAGGCCCCAUGAACGAUUCCAUGGGCUUGGGCUGUGAAUUGGCUAACCGGGCCAGAAUAGGCUUAAUGGGCCUAAUGGGCUGUUGGGCCCAUAAUAGGCAAAAGUUGAUAAUUGAUGCUAUGUGAUGAAAAAUUGUAUGUGAGCAUGACUAUAAAUGUGAAUUGGGCCUGAUGGGCUAUAUAAAAGUGAUUUGGGCCUAAUGGGCCAUAUAAAUGUGAUUAGGCCUAGUGGGCCAUAUACAGGUAUGUGAACUUGACUGGGCUUUGUAAGGGGUUUUGGGCCUAGUAUAUGAUGACUACAUAAAACUUAAUUAAGAUAUUGCGAUCGUGGACAAGUCAUAGGGUUAAAGUGUGGCAACGGGUAUAUGCAUGUCUAGGAUUGGAUUUUGGGAGAGCUUGGCACUUAAGCGGUCUUAAUGACUCACCUCCUCUUCUCUGGAAUCCUACCUGGUGCAUAGUAUUCAUUCAUCUUAGCUCACAGGAUUUGUUAACGGGCCAAGGUAAGUGAAAACUGUAAUAAAAAGAAAAAUUACCGAAAUGCCCCUAAGAGCGAAAAUGACCGAAAUACCCCUAGGUGUUGAAUGUAAUUUUUAUGGAUGUGACAUGCAUAUCUACUGCAUACAUAUGAUAUUCUGCUUAGGUUGUAUAUCGGUUAGGUAUUAUGGAACGAAGGAAGUAUAUGAGGAUCGCAUGGUUGCUUGACAAUCGUGGAUCCAUCGACGACUUUUAAGCCUAAUGUGUAAAUGAAGGUAGCUCCGCAACUGGGCUACUAUGGAUGUGUAUCAGUUGACUGGGUCGAUAUUUAUAUCCCCACAUGAUGUGUCGAGGGACGGAGCUGGUGUGUAGCGGAUGGAUUAUUGGGAUGGGAUUGCACUGCAUUGCAUUGCAUGUAUGAUAUUGUUGUGAUACUAUUGCGAUGUGGGCUUCGGCCCAAUCGAGGCUAAUUUGGGCUAAGGCCCAAAGACCACCGUUAUUGAAUUGGGCUCUGGCCCAAAAUGACUAUCGAUUGCUUUAUACUCAUUGAGGGUUGUACGCACUGAGUGUUCGAAACUCACCCCCUCAUUCUAAACUUUUCAGGUGAUCCUCAGUAGGUGGUUCGACGGAUGGAGGGACUCGGAGGUGGCCAACUAGCAUAAAAAGUUUAGACUUAGUCUUUAUGUAAUUUUUAAUAUAUUGACUUUAAAUUAUUUCUAUUUGCUUUGGGUUGUAACAAGGUCUUCCCUCUGGCUAAUAUUUCAAAUUAGGAGUA